UGGGAAUUUUGGACAAUGGGCGCAAGCCUGAUCCAGCCAUGCCGCGUGCGGGAAGAAGGCCUUCGGGUUGUAAACCGCUUUUGUCAGGGAAGAAAUCUUCUGAGUUAAUACCUCGGGAGGAUGACGGUACCUGAAGAAUAAGCACCGGCUAACUACGUGCCAGCAGCCGCGGUAAUACGUAGGGUGCAAGCGUUAAUCGGAAUUACUGGGCGUAAAGCGUGCGCAGGCGGUUUUGUAAGACAGAGGUGAAAUCCCCGGGCUCAACCUGGGAACUGCCUUUGUGACUGCAAGGCUUGAGUGCGGCAGAGGGGGAUGGAAUUCCGCGUGUAGCAGUGAAAUGCGUAGAUAUGCGGAGGAACACCGAUGGCGAAGGCAAUCCCCUGGGCCUGCACUGACGCUCAUGCACGAAAGCGUGGGGAGCAAACAGGAUUAGAUACCCUGGUAGUCCACGCCCUAAACGAUGUCAACUGGUUGUUGGGAAGGUUCCUUCUCAGUAACGUAGCUAACGCGUGAAGUUGACCGCCUGGGGAGUACGGCCGCAAGGUUGAAACUCAAAUGAAUUGAC
RNAcentral lists this ribosomal RNA (565 nucleotides) under uncultured bacterium. RNAcentral's name for it is "partial 16S ribosomal RNA". It matches the Rfam family "Bacterial small subunit ribosomal RNA", at positions 356 to 914 of the family's 1533-position model. The record is from RNAcentral.